This is a long non-coding RNA of Athene cunicularia (burrowing owl), 172 nucleotides long. RefSeq lists it as uncharacterized. The transcript is spliced from 3 exons. The record is from RefSeq and is a predicted model, not a curated record. Lineage: Eukaryota; Metazoa; Chordata; Aves; Strigiformes; Strigidae.
CAGCAUCACAUAAUCAUUCAGGUUGAAAAGAUCCUUGGGAUCAUCACGUCCAACCAUCAGCUCUACUCUACAAACUUCUCCCCUACACCAUAUCCCCCAACCUCUCAUCUAAAUGACCCUUAAACACAUCCAGGGAUGGUGACUCCACCACCUCCCUGGACAGCCUAUUCCA